Molecule: ribosomal RNA, 1530 nt
Filed under: Escherichia coli
Lineage: Bacteria; Pseudomonadati; Pseudomonadota; Gammaproteobacteria; Enterobacterales; Enterobacteriaceae
Description: bacterial SSU rRNA
Rfam family: Bacterial small subunit ribosomal RNA
Source: RNAcentral
AGAGUUUGAUCAUGGCUCAGAUUGAACGCUGGCGGCAGGCCUAACACAUGCAAGUCGAACGGUAACAGGAAGCAGCUUGCUGCUUUGCUGACGAGUGGCGGACGGGUGAGUAAUGUCUGGGAAACUGCCUGAUGGAGGGGGAUAACUACUGGAAACGGUAGCUAAUACCGCAUAACGUCGCAAGACCAAAGAGGGGGACCUUAGGGCCUCUUGCCAUCGGAUGUGCCCAGAUGGGAUUAGCUAGUAGGUGGGGUAAUGGCUCACCUAGGCGACGAUCCCUAGCUGGUCUGAGAGGAUGACCAGCCACACUGGAACUGAGACACGGUCCAGACUCCUACGGGAGGCAGCAGUGGGGAAUAUUGCACAAUGGGCGCAAGCCUGAUGCAGCCAUGCCGCGUGUGUGAAGAAGGCCUUCGGGUUGUAAAGCACUUUCAGCGGGGAGGAAGGCGGUGAGGUUAAUAACCUCAUCGAUUGACGUUACCCGCAGAAGAAGCACCGGCUAACUCCGUGCCAGCAGCCGCGGUAAUACGGAGGGUGCAAGCGUUAAUCGGAAUUACUGGGCGUAAAGCGCACGCAGGCGGUCUGUCAAGUCGGAUGUGAAAUCCCCGGGCUCAACCUGGGAACUGCAUUCGAAACUGGCAGGCUAGAGUCUUGUAGAGGGGGGUAGAAUUCCAGGUGUAGCGGUGAAAUGCGUAGAGAUCUGGAGGAAUACCGGUGGCGAAGGCGGCCCCCUGGACAAAGACUGACGCUCAGGUGCGAAAGCGUGGGGAGCAAACAGGAUUAGAUACCCUGGUAGUCCACGCCGUAAACGAUGUCGACUUGGAGGUUGUGCCCUUGAGGCGUGGCUUCCGGAGCUAACGUGUUAAGUCGACCGCCUGGGGAGUACGGCCGCAAGGUUAAAACUCAAAUGAAUUGACGGGGGCCCGCACAAGCGGUGGAGCAUGUGGUUUAAUUCGAUGCAACGCGAAGAACCUUACCUGGUCUUGACAUCCACGGAAGUUUUCAGAGAUGAGAAUGUGCCUUCGGGAACCGUGAGACAGGUGCUGCAUGGCUGUCGUCAGCUCGUGUUGUGAAAUGUUGGGUUAAGUCCCGCAACGAGCGCAACCCUUAUCCUUUGUUGCCAGCGGUCCGGCCGGGAACUCAAAGGAGACUGCCAGUGAUAAACUGGAGGAAGGUGGGGAUGACGUCAAGUCAUCAUGGCCCUUACGACCAGGGCUACACACGUGCUACAAUGGCGCAUACAAAGAGAAGCGACCUCGCGAGAGCAAGCGGACCUCAUAAAGUGCGUCGUAGUCCGGAUUGGAGUCUGCAACUCGACUCCAUGAAGUCGGAAUCGCUAGUAAUCGUGGAUCAGAAUGCCACGGUGAAUACGUUCCCGGGCCUUGUACACACCGCCCGUCACACCAUGGGAGUGGGUUGCAAAAGAAGUAGGUAGCUUAACCUUCGGGAGGGCGCUUACCACUUUGUGAUUCAUGACUGGGGUGAAGUCGUAACAAGGUAACCGUAGGGGAACCUGCGGUUGGAUCACCU